UCACCCACGGCAAGCAAUGGCAUUCUACACUCGCUGCCUGCAGGACCUCCCAAGAUUAACAAUCAGCGACGUCCUCCGGUUUAUACGGACUUUAUCUUCUGCUCCACGGAGUAAAAAAGAAAAAGGCUUUAAGUUUUACGUUUCAAACUACAUUGACAACUUUGAAGAUUACAUUUGAGGACUGUUCCCCGGUGGAGAUCACAGAAGUUGGGUGUUCCUGUGUGGCUGGUACAGUGCUGUGCAACCACGGUGUUGCAUUACUUUACCAAACUGCACACUACUGUGCUCUGAAUUUGACUUCAGUGCCACCAGUACUAAGCUGUACGGAAACUGAACAGAGCUGGCACAAACCAAGGACCAUGGGUGUGAAACUAGGCCGUGUGCGUGACAUGGUUUUUAAGUCUGCAAGACCAAAACAGCAGCGCACGGUCGGAAAUGGUGUAAGGAGCAAACGUUACAGGGCAGUGCGAGGUGACACACCAGACCCUGAUGUUCUCAGGGUAGCAGAGGUGUACCAGGACUUUCCAGCUGACCUUGCACCUCUCAUUACUACGAUGGCAAUUAGUGCUGAUGUGCCUUUAGUGGAUUCAGCCUUUGGUAAGGUACAGGAAGGCAGUCCAUUAGCUUUCCAGCAUCCACUACCGGUCAGCCGGAUAAUAAUUCGUCAUGUGGAUUCCCCUACACCGCUGUCACUGCCUCUUGACCACUAUAAUCUUGAGCCCACCUGUGUCCAGUUUGUCUGCAGCCAGCAG
Cyprinodon tularosa is the source of this 752-nucleotide long non-coding RNA. RefSeq lists it as uncharacterized. Lineage: Eukaryota; Metazoa; Chordata; Actinopteri; Cyprinodontiformes; Cyprinodontidae. The transcript has 4 exons. The record is from RefSeq and is a predicted model, not a curated record.